Molecule: long non-coding RNA, 1203 nt
Organism: Gorilla gorilla gorilla (western lowland gorilla)
Lineage: Eukaryota; Metazoa; Chordata; Mammalia; Primates; Hominidae
Exons: 5
Source: RefSeq, a predicted model, not a curated record
AGUGGCAGCCCGCUCUGGUCUCUUUCCAGAUUGUGGAAGCUUUGUUCUUUCACUCUUUGCUUUAAAUCUUGCUGCUGCUCACUCACUCUUUGGGUCCACACUGCUUUUAUGAGCUGUAACACUCACCGCAAAAGUCUGCAGCUUCACUCUUGAAGCCAGCGAGACCAGGAGCCCACCAGGAAGAAAGAGCAACUUUAGAUGCGCUGCCUUAAGAGCUGUAACACUCACUGCAAUGGUCUGCAGCUUCACUCCUGAGCCAGCGAGACCCCGAACCCACCAGAAGGAAGAAACUCCGAACACAUCCAAAUAUCAAAAGGAACAAACUCCAGACGCGCCACCUUAAGAGCUGUAACACUCACCACGAGGGUCCGCGGCUUCAUUCUUGAAGUCAGUGAGACCGAGAACCCACCAAUUCUGGAUACACCAUCAGCGUGUUGAGACUUUCUUGCAAAAAUGCCUGUUUGGGAUUCCUCAGAGUACAGACAAAAAGGAAGGCUUGAUCAGCAUGUGGUGGAUCUGAAGAUUCAAAGAAUUGCCAUGGCUCAAAAGUAGACAUUUUGGUAAAUGUGAAGAAGUGAGAUUCAAUGAAGAUAAGAAAUGAAAGGUGUUACCAAAAGUGUCAAGCCUGUGGCAGCAGAGCUUCCUGGGGAGUCCUCAGAGCAAGUCAUUGCCGUUGUCGAAGUGUCUUCUAGGCUUUAUUUUGGGGCCAUUACCUCGAGCACUGUUUCUUGUCUGGUUUUCUAAUGUCAGCAACUGAAGAAAAGACCUGUACACACAGGACACAGCAUGGUCUGACGCUCACAGUGUUUUCCUUUCUCUCUGCAGAAGGAUUCAGCACUUUGGGCAAGUGGUUGCACGGAGGAUCCCGUGGAAGAAUUCAUAUAUGAAUCAGAUGAGGAUGCCCCAGGACCGUCGAAGGUCAGACCACCUGCUUUUGUCAAAGAAAAAAGAUAACCCCUAUUUGAAUUAAAAUAUGAGAAUCUGACCGUAUGUAUCAUAGGUGACUUACAUAGUGUCCUUGGUAAGGAGAAUUUAGAGUGAGAGUCUGUUCCCCACUGAGGUUUGAUUUAAGAUGGCAGAAGAAAAUGACAUCAUCAGCCACUCAGCAGCUUGAUUCUCUCCUUGGGGCAAAAUCACUUAAUUGCCAAGCAACAUGGACUUACAGGAAACAUCCUCCAAUAAAAACUUAGGUUUUUAGCAUGA